GACGAACGCUGGCGGCGUGCUUAACACAUGCAAGUCGAACGGAAAGGCCCUGCUUUUGUGGGGUGCUCGAGUGGCGAACGGGUGAGUAACACGUGAGUAACCUGCCCUUGACUUUGGGAUAACUUCAGGAAACUGGGGCUAAUACCGGAUAGGAGCUCCUGCUGCAUGGUGGGGGUUGGAAAGUUUCGGCGGUUGGGGAUGGACUCGCGGCUUAUCAGCUUGUUGGUGGGGUAGUGGCUUACCAAGGCUUUGACGGGUAGCCGGCCUGAGAGGGUGACCGGCCACAUUGGGACUGAGAUACGGCCCAGACUCCUACGGGAGGCAGCAGUGGGGAAUAUUGCACAAUGGGCGGAAGCCUGAUGCAGCAACGCCGCGUGCGGGAUGACGGCCUUCGGGUUGUAAACCGCUUUCGCCUGUGACGAAGCGUGAGUGACGGUAAUGGGUAAAGAAGCACCGGCUAACUACGUGCCAGCAGCCGCGGUGAUACGUAGGGUGCGAGCGUUGUCCGGAUUUAUUGGGCGUAAAAGGGCUCGUAGGUGGUUGAUCGCGUCGGAAGUGUAAUCUUGGGGCUUAACCCUGAGCGUGCUUUCGAUACGGGUUGACUUGAGGAAGUUAGGGGAGAAUGGAAUUCCUGGUGGAGCGGUGGAAUGCGCAGAUAUCAGGAGGAACACCAGUGGCGAAGGCGGUUCUCUGGGCCUUUCCUGACGCUGAGGAGCGAAAGCGUGGGGAGCGAACAGGCUUAGAUACCCUGGUAGUCCACGCUGUAAACGGUGGGUACUAGGUGUGGGGUCCAUUCCACGGGUUCCGUGCCGUAGCUAACGCUUUAAGUACCCCGCCUGGGGAGUACGGCCGCAAGGCUAAAACUCAAAGGAAUUGACGGGGCCCCGCACAAGCGGCGGAGCAUGCGGAUUAAUUCGAUGCAACGCGUAGAACCUUACCUGGGUUUGACAUGGAUCGGGAGUGCUCAGAGAUGGGUGUGCCUCUUUUGGGGUCGGUUCACAGGUGGUGCAUGCCUGUCGUCAGCUCGUGUCGUGAGAUGUUGGGUUAAGUCCCGCAACGAGCGCAACCCUUGUUCACUGUUGCCAGCACGUUAUGGUGGGGACUCAGUGGAGACCGCCGGGGUCAACUCGGAGGAAGGUGGGGAUGACGUCAAGUCCUCAUGCCCCUCAUGUCCAGGGCUUCACGCAUGCUACAAUGGCUGGUACAGAGAGUGGCGAGCCUGUGAGGGUGAGCGAAUCUCGGAAAGCCGGUCUCAGUUCGGAUUGGGGUCUGCAACUCGACCUCAUGAAGUCGGAGUCGCUAGUAAUCGCAGAUCAGCAACGCUGCGGUGAAUACGUUCCCGGG
RNAcentral lists this ribosomal RNA (1344 nucleotides) under uncultured bacterium. Its description in RNAcentral is "16S ribosomal RNA". It matches the Rfam family "Bacterial small subunit ribosomal RNA", at positions 28 to 1378 of the family's 1533-position model. The record is from RNAcentral.